AGCGAACGCUGGCGGCAGGCUUAACACAUGCAAGUCGAACGGGCACUUCGGUGUCAGUGGCAGACGGGUGAGUAACACGUGGGAACGUACCUCUUGGUUCGGAACAACACAGGGAAACUUGUGCUAAUACCGGAUAAGCCCUUACGGGGAAAGAUUUAUCGCCGAGAGAUCGGCCCGCGUCUGAUUAGCUAGUUGGUGAGGUAAUGGCUCACCAAGGCGACGAUCAGUAGCUGGUCUGAGAGGAUGAUCAGCCACAUUGGGACUGAGACACGGCCGAAACUCCUACGGGAGGCAGCAGUGGGGAAUAUUGGACAAUGGGGGCAACCCUGAUCCAGCCAUGCCGCGUGAGUGAUGAAGGCCCUAGGGUUGUAAAGCUCUUUUGUGCGGGAAGAUAAUGACGGUACCGCAAGAAUAAGCCCCGGCUAACUUCGUGCCAGCAGCCGCCGUAA
This 449-nucleotide ribosomal RNA is filed under the name uncultured bacterium. RNAcentral describes it as "partial 16S ribosomal RNA". It matches the Rfam family "Bacterial small subunit ribosomal RNA", at positions 29 to 523 of the family's 1533-position model. The record is from RNAcentral.